RNAcentral lists this unclassified non-coding RNA (165 nucleotides) under uncultured Sordariomycetes. RNAcentral describes it as "sequence contains ITS1". Lineage: Eukaryota; Fungi; Ascomycota; Sordariomycetes. The record is from RNAcentral.
AAGAGUUGUAUAACUCCCAAACCCAUGUGAACAUACCAAGCGUUGCCUCGGCAGGUCGCGCCUACCCUGUAGGAGACUACCUGGGAGGCGCGGUUUAGCCUGCCGGAGGCCCCCGAAAACUCUGUCAUUAUAUUGGAAAUUCUGAAAUAACAAGAAAAUAAGUUA